Camelus dromedarius (Arabian camel) is the source of this 2201-nucleotide long non-coding RNA. RefSeq lists it as uncharacterized. The transcript is spliced from 3 exons. The record is from RefSeq and is a predicted model, not a curated record. NCBI's taxonomy places the organism in Eukaryota, Metazoa, Chordata, Mammalia, Artiodactyla, Camelidae.
UCGUCCCUAGGGCUGGAGACUGCUCAGUCGCGCGCCUGGGCCUUUUCUGUAGAAUGGAAUACAUGUCUCACUCACGAGGUUACUAAUAUCAUCAUCUGCUCCUUACCUGAUGUAGAAUCACCCCAGUAGUCCCAGGAGGUAGAAACAUUGUCGUCCACGCCUCACAAAUGAGGAAAUGCGGCUCAGAGAGGCGAGUGGCGUUUUUGCCAGAGUUAUUACCUGAAAAAUUGCGUUUGAUGAGUGUCUACCAAAGGACACAACUAAGCCAAAGAGCGGGAGAAGGAAGGAUUACUUGCAGCAAGUAAGGACAACACCAGGGAGCUUUCCCAAAGCAGCUUCUCCUCAAAUAGCAAAGUUGGGAACGUUUUUAAGCUAAGGGUACAUGCAUAUUGAUGAAAGGGCUUGGAUGGUCACAGAGUCCAACUUUAGUUGAUUGCAGUCAUGGGAGUCAGGAAAGGUCAACAUCAUACCUUAGGUUCCACCUGAUCUAAUGGUUGAGUGCUUCAGUCUAAACUUUACCAUUGAAACAAAAUUGUCUUUACUACUGAUACAUUAUCUUCACUACGUUAUUUCUCUUGCCUGAUAACAGUUUAUUCUUUUGUUCCCUGAAGAUCAUUACUACUGAGACCUGUUCAAGGGCAAACCUCGUGACCGGAUUUAGAUCACAAAAUAGCCUAAGCCAAAAAUGGCUUCUCUUUUGUCAUAAAAGCCAUGCCUCUAUUUCUCUCUGGGUAGCACCACCACCACCACCACCACACUAUCUGCCUACAGGAAGAAUAGGUUUCAUUGACUACUGAGCAUGAGGUUUGAAUUCUGCCCUUGCCAUUUAACAGCAGUGAAGCAGAGGACAGCUUUCUUGCCUUCUCCAGGCCUCAGUUUGUUCACUGUUGAAAUGAGUCUGAUGAUACCACUUCAUGGAGCUGCUAUGAAGAUUAAAUUAGAUUAGUGGUUCCAAGACCAUUUUAUACUCUUUAGAAAUGAUUGAGGGCCUCAAAAAGCUUUUGCUAAUAUGGGUUUAAUCUGUCUGUGUUUACCAUAAUAUAAAUUUUUAAAAAUCACUUUCACUUAAAAAUAAUAAACUACCUCUUUUAAAAAGUAGCUAUAUUUCCCCCAAAAUAUAGAGAAGAGUGGCAGCCGUUUUACAUUUUUGCAAAUCUCUUUAAAGUCUGACUCCACAGAAGAUAGCUGGAGUCUCACGUCUGCUUCUGCACUGAAUAUAUUGCUUUGGUUGGAGGUAUAUGAAGAAAACCCAGCCUCAGAUGCUCCUAAGGUGGACCACACCGACCUCAUCUCUAGUGUGAUACCCCACUGGCUGCAGAGUCCUAACUAAUGCUCGAGUACCCUGGGGGGGACCAGUCCCCUCUUCAGGUGAAAACUGGAAGUGAAGCAAACACCAAAAGGCCCUCGUUAGCUGGCAUUCCCGCACGAAGACACUUUGCCCGGAUUCUUUAUGCUCCUCCACUUAGGCCUCAGCUAGAUUCUCACCGUGGCUAGCCAGUGUUGUCUUCUUACUUGAAAAAGAAGAGGAAAGAGGGAGGAAGGAAGAAAAGAAGAGAAGAGAAAAGGAAGGAAGAUGAAAUGGAAAACUCAUCUUCCAACCACGUUGAAGAGCCAUCCAGAAACAGAGUGGCAAAACACUGGUACUGGGAGCCCAGUGAUGUGAGGACUUUUUCUAUUUUUGCUAUUUGUAUGUAAAUCUGGAAUUCCUUACCAGAUUUUAUUUUUGAAGGAAGCGUGUAAUAUCAUGUAUCACUUGAUAUGACAUAACAUGAUGAGAAAGGCACUUCACCUCUGGGGUGUUCACCCCCGCACCCCAUAAUCCCUGUCUAAUCACUAGAAGAACAUCAGACAAACCCAAGUUGAGGGAAAUUUUGCAGAAUAACUGACCAGGAUUUUCUGCAGGUGCCUGCCCAGGUCAUAGGAGACAUGGACAGACCAGAGGCGCCUAAGGAGGUGAGACACCUAAAUAUAAUGUGGGAUGCUGGAACAGAAAAGGACAUUCAUGGGAAAAUUGGUAAAAUCCAAAUAAAAUUUGGGGUUUAGUUAAUAGUAAUGGACCAAUGUUGAUCUCUUCAUUCUGGGAAAUGUACCAUUGUUAGGUAUGUUAACAUGGAGGGAAGCUGGGGAAGGGCAUAUGGGAACUUGGCACUAUCUUGCAACAUUUCUGUAAAUCUAAGAUCCAAAAUAAAAAAUACACAAAA